This 253-nucleotide ribosomal RNA is filed under the name uncultured bacterium. RNAcentral's name for it is "partial 16S ribosomal RNA". It matches the Rfam family "Bacterial small subunit ribosomal RNA", at positions 524 to 776 of the family's 1533-position model. The record is from RNAcentral.
UACGUAGGGUGCGAGCGUUAAUCGGAAUUACUGGGCGUAAAGCAUGCGCAGGCGGUUCGCCAAGUCAGGUGUGAAAUCCCCGGGCUUAACCUGGGAAUUGCGCUUGAAACUAGCGGGCUUGAGUGUGGCAGAGGGGGGUGGAAUUCCACGUGUAGCAGUGAAAUGCGUAGAUAUACGGAGGAACACCUGCGGCGAAGGCGGGUAGCUGGGCCUUACCUGACGCUCAGGCGCGAAAGCUAGGGGAGCGAACAGG